This 1381-nucleotide ribosomal RNA is filed under the name Alexandrium minutum. RNAcentral's name for it is "LSU rRNA". It matches the Rfam family "Eukaryotic large subunit ribosomal RNA", at positions 68 to 1403 of the family's 3401-position model. Lineage: Eukaryota; Dinophyceae; Gonyaulacales; Pyrocystaceae. The record is from RNAcentral.
AAUGGGAUUCCUUAAGUAAUUGCGAAUGAACAAGGAAAUGCUCAGCUUGAAAAAUGGGGCCUUUGGCUUUGAAUUGUAAUUUUGAAAUGUAUUGCCAAUGGAGGCGCAGGUGCAAGCCUAUUGAAAGAAAGCGUCAAUGAGGGUGAGAUUCCUUUUUGUCAUUUGCAGUCCUCCGUGCACGGUAUAUAUUUGACGAGUCACACUCCUCGGCAUUGGAAUGCAAAGUGGGUGGUAAAUUCCAUGUAAAGGUAAAUAUAUUAUUGAGACUGAUAGCAAACAAGUACCAUGAGGGAAAUAUGAAAAGGACUUUGAAAAGAGAAUUAAAAGAGUCUGCAUUUGCUGAACAGAAAGCAAACAGAAUUGAUUUUACUUGGUGAGAUUGUUGUGCUUACUCUAUCAUUUAUAUGGUUGAUGUGGGUGCGAUGGUUCUUACCUUGAAUGUCAGCUUCUAUUUCUGCAAAUCAUUACCCUUGCACAUGAAUGGUAAUUUGCCUGCGGGUAUUGGAAUGCAUGUGUUUGCAAUGAUUUGUGAUUUGACGCAUGUGUUUGGUGAAAUUUGUAUAUGCUCUUUUGUCGAAGGGGAAAGCUUACUUUUUUGAGCAUUGCAAGCCCUUACACAUCAGUGCUGGCAAAAUGUUUCUGCUUGACCCGUCUUGAAACACGGACCAAGGAGUCUAACAGAUGUGCAAGUUCGUGGGUGGCAAACCUUUUUGCGCAAUGAAAGUAUUGGCUGGGAUACUUGCACCAGCAGCCGACCAAUUAGCAGACAGAGGUUUGAGUUUGAGCAUAUCUAUUAGGACCCGAAAGAUGGUGAACUAUGCCUGAACAGAAUGAAUUCAGAGGAAACUCUGAUGGAGGUUCGUAUCGAUACUGACGUGCAAAUCGUUCGUCAUACUUGGGUAUAGGGGCGAAAGACUAAUCGAACCAUCUAGUAGCUGGUUCCCUCCGAAGUUUCCCUCAGGAUAGCUGGAGUUGCACAGUUUUAUCAGGUAAAGCGAAUGAUUAGAGGAAUUGGGGACACGCUGUCCUUGACCUAUUCUCAAACUUUAAAUGGGUAAGAUGCAAUGGUUGCUUUAUUGAACUUUUGGAAUAAAUGGCAAUAUCAGGUGGGCCAUUUUUGGUAAGCAGAACUGGCGAUGAGGGAUGAACCUAACGUUGGGUUAAGGUGCUUAAUUGCUUGCUCAUUAGAUACCAGAAAGGGUGUUGGUUCAUUUUAACAGCAGGACGGUGGUCAUGGAAGUCGAAAUCCGCUAAGGAGUGUGUAACAACUCACCUGCCGAAUGGACUAGCCCCGAAAAUGGAUGGCGCUCAAGCGGGUGACCGAUACCCAGACCACUGUUGCAAAUAGUNUCAGUGUGUAGGAGGGCAUGGCGGUUUGUGA